Molecule: transfer RNA, 72 nt
Filed under: Teladorsagia circumcincta
Lineage: Eukaryota; Metazoa; Nematoda; Chromadorea; Rhabditida; Trichostrongylidae
Description: tRNA-Gly
Source: RNAcentral
UGCAUCGGCCGGGAAUCGAACCCGGGCCGCCCUUGUGGCAGGCGAGCAUUCUGCCACUAAACCACCGAAUGU